Molecule: transfer RNA, 66 nt
Filed under: Candidatus Neomicrothrix parvicella RN1
Lineage: Bacteria; Bacillati; Actinomycetota; Acidimicrobiia; Acidimicrobiales; Microthrixaceae
Description: Candidatus Microthrix parvicella RN1 tRNA
Rfam family: tRNA
About the family: Transfer RNA (tRNA) molecules are approximately 80 nucleotides in length. Their secondary structure includes four short double-helical elements and three loops (D, anti-codon, and T loops). Further hydrogen bonds mediate the characteristic L-shaped molecular structure. tRNAs have two regions of fundamental functional importance: the anti-codon, which is responsible for specific mRNA codon recognition, and the 3' end, to which the tRNAs corresponding amino acid is attached (by aminoacyl-tRNA synthetases). tRNAs cope with the degeneracy of the genetic code in two manners: having more than one tRNA (with a specific anti-codon) for a particular amino acid; and 'wobble' base-pairing, i.e. permitting non-standard base-pairing at the 3rd anti-codon position.
Source: Rfam by way of RNAcentral
GGUGGCGACGGCUCCCUCGUCGGGCUCAUCACCCGAAGGUGGCAGGUUCGAAUCCUGCCCCCGCCA